This 484-nucleotide ribosomal RNA is filed under the name uncultured bacterium. RNAcentral's name for it is "partial 16S ribosomal RNA". It matches the Rfam family "Bacterial small subunit ribosomal RNA", at positions 30 to 507 of the family's 1533-position model. The record is from RNAcentral.
AUUGAACGCUGGCGGCAGGCCUAACACAUGCAAGUCGAGCGGAUGAAGGGAGCUUGCUCCUGGAUUCAGCGGCGGACGGGUGAGUAAUGCCUAGGAAUCUGCCUGGUAGUGGGGGAUAACGUCCGGAAACGGGCGCUAAUACCGCAUACGUCCUGAGGGAGAAAGUGGGGGAUCUUCGGACCUCACGCUAUCAGAUGAGCCUAGGUCGGAUUAGCUAGUUGGUGGGGUAAAGGCCUACCAAGGCGGCGAUCCGUAACUGGUCUGAGAGGAUGAUCAGUCACACUAGAACUGAGACACGGUCCAGACUCCUACGGGAGGCAGCAGUGGGGAAUAUUGGACAAUGGGCGAAAGCCUGAUCCAGCCAUGCCGCGUGUGUGAAGAAGGUCUUCGGAUUGUAAAGCACUUUAAGUUGGGAGGAAGGGCAGUAAGUUAAUACCUUACUGUUUUGACGUUACCAACAGAAUAAGCACCGGCUAACUUCGUG